GAAUGUUUCAUGUUAUUCUAACUUGAAAAGAAACAAAGCCAUUACUUAGAAGUCUGAGUUAAACCUCGGUUGGUGUAAAAAUCUCUCCCCCAUCACCCCCAAAACUUUUUUCAGGUUACUGAUUUUGAAUGAGUCAGCUGAAAGAAAAGAAAAGAAAGAUUUAGAUAGAAAUAGGUAGAUUUAGAUAGAAAAGCCAGCAAGAGAGAGGUUGGGGAUGCCUGGGGUAGUGCCUUUAUUUUACCGUCAACACGAUAUUUCUUAACACCUCGUUGCACCUUUUAGUGUCAAAAGAUGGUAAUAAUAGUGAUGCGCAUGCUGUAUUCUCUGUCUGUUUCCCUUCCCACAACAACUUUGUGUGCAGGUUGUAGACUUCUUUGGUCACCUAUCCAUCAUCUUCCAAAAGACGGAUAAAAUAGGACACGGAAAAAUGCUAAUUUAGAUAUAGUAAAUUAUAAUUAUAGUAAUUAUAACCUAACGGCAGGCCUGUCAACUAAGCUUUCACUUGGCAGGUACGUAUUUAAAUUAAAUCCUGUGAAAUGGAUUUGAGUCCAUGAAGACUGCUACUGUUAAUUACCCAUCCUUCACCUUAAGGUCCCAGAGCAGGUGACAACAUUGAAACACAAUAUUAUAAACAGCUUAAAAACAAUAAUAGAAAUAAGGUGGGUCCGAAAACUGUACAACUCAAGUGCCAAAAGCCAGGGCAAAGAGGUGCAUUGUCAACAUUUGCUGUGUAAUGAAGGUGCCAGAUGCAUUUUGGGAGGGAGUUCCACAAUUUAGGGUGCUACCAUAGAGAAUGUCCUCUUCCCCACCCAGCUUCUGAGGGCAGAGAACUACCAAGAGGACCCAGGAAUUUAGGGGCCUAUGGCACCCACAUACCCACAAAAAACAAUAUAUUUAUAACCCGGGUGCUGCCAACUGUUGAUGGGCAGCUUCAAGGCCUCCUCUGCUCUCCUGCGUGAUGCUUCUUUAUCUUGAAACUGGGCUUGGAUCAGACGGCCUUUCAAAUAAUAGAGGACAGUCCUUCAAACAGAAAUCUACCUCUGGGCAGGACACACGAUCACCGUAGUUGUAUUGCAACCCAAUGGGUUUCUGCACUUCAACGAGGCAGCACCUUGUUUUCUUUAAUUAUGGCAGUAGAUGAGGCCAUGCAGUGAAUCACCUUACCUUUUCCACUCCAGGAGAUUUGCUAAUCACAUCUACCUCCUGUUCAGCUCAUCUUCCUAGUGUGCUCAUCCAUGC
This is a non-coding RNA of Podarcis muralis (Common wall lizard), 1239 nucleotides long. The record is from RefSeq and is a predicted model, not a curated record. Lineage: Eukaryota; Metazoa; Chordata; Lepidosauria; Squamata; Lacertidae.